RNAcentral lists this unclassified non-coding RNA (314 nucleotides) under plant metagenome. RNAcentral describes it as "partial contains 5.8S ribosomal RNA, internal transcribed spacer 2, and large subunit ribosomal RNA". The stretch from base 1 to 105 matches the Rfam family "5.8S ribosomal RNA", at positions 50 to 154 of the family's 154-position model. The record is from RNAcentral.
GAAACGCGAUAGUUAAUGUGAAUUGCAGAAUUCAGUGAAUCAUCGAGUCUUUGAACGCACAUUGCGCCCAUAGGUAUUCCUUUGGGCAUGUCUGUUUGAGCGUCAUUACAACCCUCAGCUAACCGCUGGUUUUGAACCUGAACGGGUGACACCGCGCCGGUUUUAAAGUUGUAAGCUCUGCUGGCCGCUCUGCCCAACCAGAACAUAGUAAGCACUACUUGUCCGGGUGAAGCUGAACGGUACGGCCUGAACAAAACCUACCCACUCUCAAGGUUUGACCUCAGAUCAGACAAGGAUACCCGCUGAAAUUAAGC